This 827-nucleotide ribosomal RNA is filed under the name uncultured bacterium. RNAcentral's name for it is "bacterial SSU rRNA". It matches the Rfam family "Bacterial small subunit ribosomal RNA", at positions 9 to 849 of the family's 1533-position model. The record is from RNAcentral.
GAGUUUGAUCCUGGCUCAGGACGAACGCUGGCGGCGCGCCUAACACAUGCAAGUCGAACGAGAGAGAAGGAGCUUGCUUCUUCGAUCGAGUGGCGAACGGGUGAGUAACGCGUGAGGAACCUGCCUCAAAGAGGGGGACAACAGUUGGAAACGACUGCUAAUACCGCAUAAGCCCACGGGUCGGCAUCGACCAGAGGGAAAAGGAGCAAUCCGCUUUGAGAUGGCCUCGCGUCCGAUUAGCUGGUUGGUGAGGUAAUGGCCCACCAAGGCGACGAUCGGUAGCCGGACUGAGAGGUUGAACGGCCACAUUGGGACUGAGACACGGCCCAGACUCCUACGGGAGGCAGCAGUGGGGAAUAUUGCACAAUGGGGGAAACCCUGAUGCAGCGACGCCGCGUGGAGGAAGAAGGUCUUCGGAUUGUAAACUCCUGUUGUUGAGGAAGAUAAUGACGGUACUCAACAAGGAAGUGACGGCUAACUACGUGCCAGCAGCCGCGGUAAAACGUAGGUCACAAGCGUUGUCCGGAAUUACUGGGUGUAAAGGGAGCGCAGGCGGGAAGACAAGUUGGAAGUGAAAUCCAUGGGCUCAACCCAUGAACUGCUUUCAAAACUGUUUUUCUUGAGUAGUGCAGAGCUAGGCAGAAUUUCCGGUGUAGCGCCGGAAUGCGUAGAUAUCGGGAGGAACACCAGUGGCGAAGGUGGCCUACUGGGCACCAACUGACGUUGAGGCUCGAAAGGGUGGGUAGCAAACAGGAUUAGAUACCCUGGUAGUCCACACCGUAAACGAUGAUUACUAGGUGUUGGAGGAUUGACCCCUUCAGUGCCGC